RNAcentral lists this ribosomal RNA (330 nucleotides) under uncultured Glomeromycotina. RNAcentral's name for it is "eukaryotic LSU rRNA". Lineage: Eukaryota; Fungi; Glomeromycota. The record is from RNAcentral.
CAGUCGUACCUACGAGUAAUCAACCUUUCGAGCGUGAUUUUGUGGCGCGUGUGGAGCUUAACGGCCCUCACGUCUGCACAUUCGUUCUCCUUGGGUGUACUUUCUCGUUGGUAGGUUAACAUCAAUUUCGGUGGUCAUAAAAUGACGGGAGGAAUGUAGCUUUGGCCUCGUGCUGAAGUGUUAUAGACUCUGGUAGAUGUGACGAUCGGGAUUGAGGAUUGCAACGAAUACCCCUCGGGGCUAUCCGUCUGAUCUCUGAAGGUUACUCUGGUGCCGAAAGCGUGCUUACGGUAUCAAAGUUAUCCGUCAACAGGUUAGAACGUGAUUAAA